CCAUCGUGAGUAUAUGUGGUACUGCCAGCUUAGCUUCACUACUUCCUUUGAAAGCUGUCUCUCUCUCCUCCCACCAUCUCAUCCUUGGGGAGUUAUGCAGCCCCACCCCGGUGGUCAUAACUGAUGGCAUCAUGACAAGGACUGAGUGGAGGCCAAUUCCAAGAGGUUUAGGAACACGUUUUCCUUGAAACAGCAGGCAUCGGCCAGCGCCUGAUUUUACUGCUCUGCACCCUGCGGAUCAGGCAGUUAAACAUCUGCAAAGAACAAGAGAUAACAUCCUGUGUGGGGUCAUCACUUUCCAGGAAAUGGUUGCAGGACUAGAGAGAAAUGGAAAUUCACCAUCUGGCUGGCUGUCCAGCAAAGCUGCUGACGAGACAGCACUCAUGUGCUAAGGCCGCAUUGGGUCCAGGGCCCAGUGGAGUUUUCCAGAGGCUACAUGAUAUAUAAUAUCAUCAUUCUCACAACUAAUGAAAGUUAUAGAAUCACAGUAUCCUCUGUCAUCUACCAGAGUUAACCGACAGAGAUAAGGACAGAAGGGCGACCUCCAUUUAUCUCCUUUUUUCUUCAUGGGCUGAAUCCUGAGGGACUUCCAGGAGCCAUCUCCAGCCCCCCUGGCCUGAAAGAAGAGCUGAAAUAAUUUCCACAGAAAACUCAUGUCUUAGAAACAAGGAAAUGAUGCCUAUUAGAACACAAUUAAGAAUCUUUACCAAAAUAAAAUUGAUGACACUCAAA
Molecule: long non-coding RNA, 732 nt
Organism: Myotis myotis
Lineage: Eukaryota; Metazoa; Chordata; Mammalia; Chiroptera; Vespertilionidae
Exons: 5
Source: RefSeq, a predicted model, not a curated record